Molecule: ribosomal RNA, 23 nt
Filed under: Puccorchidium popowiae
Lineage: Eukaryota; Fungi; Basidiomycota; Pucciniomycetes; Pucciniales; Sphaerophragmiaceae
Description: partial 18S ribosomal RNA
Source: RNAcentral
GUAGGUGAACCUGCGGAUGGAUC